AACGCACAUUGCGCCCGCCAGUAUUCUGGCGGGCAUGCCUGUUCGAGCGUCAUUUCAACCAUCAAGCGCCUCGCUUGUGUUGGGGCCCUGCGGCUGCCGCAGGCCCCUAAAUCCAGUGGCGGGCUCGUCGUGGUACCGAGUGCAGUAAACAUCCUCGCUCAGGGAACCCGACGGGUGCCGGCCGUGAAACCCCCCCUCCUUAAGGUUGACCUCGGAUCAGGUAGGAAUACCCGCUGAACUUAA
This 243-nucleotide unclassified non-coding RNA is filed under the name uncultured Lasiosphaeriaceae. RNAcentral's name for it is "sequence contains ITS2". The stretch from base 1 to 52 matches the Rfam family "5.8S ribosomal RNA", at positions 103 to 154 of the family's 154-position model. Lineage: Eukaryota; Fungi; Ascomycota; Sordariomycetes; Sordariales; Lasiosphaeriaceae. The record is from RNAcentral.